UGGCGACCGGCGCACGGGUGAGUAACGCGUAUCCAACCUGCCCUUUACUAUGGGACAGCCCGUCGAAAGGCGGAUUAAUACCGUAUGUUGUCAUGUUGAUGCAUAUUUUCAUGACCAAAGGCUUCGGCCGGUAAAGGAUGGGGAUGCGUCUGAUUAGCUUGCCGGCGGGGUAACGGCCCACCGGGGCGACGAUCAGUAGGGGUUCUGAGAGGAAGGUCCCCCACAUUGGAACUGAGACACGGUCCAAACUCCUACGGAAGGCAGCAG
This 267-nucleotide ribosomal RNA is filed under the name uncultured bacterium. Its description in RNAcentral is "partial 16S ribosomal RNA". It matches the Rfam family "Bacterial small subunit ribosomal RNA", at positions 89 to 354 of the family's 1533-position model. The record is from RNAcentral.